UUUUAUGCUCAGUACAGCUUUUUAGUAUAUAAGUUUUAAUGAAAAUUUAUUUACACUUUGAAUUUCAUAACAUUUAUCCACAUUCAUAAUGAUAAAAGUUAAAAAUUUUUUUAUGAUCUAAUUGUAGUGCCAGCAGAUGUGGUUAUACUAUUGAUAAAAUUAUACUUUUUUUUAUUUCUUAAUUAAUUUUAUUUGAAUAAAAGAUUAUAUUAAGUGAAAUUUUAUAUUUUUACUUUUUCAAUUUUAAGACAGGAAAAAUUUUAAAUUUAAAAGAGGAUUAGAUACCCUUUUAUAUUAAAAUUAUUUAGGUAGUAUUUUUCUAUUUAAAAAACCUAUGUAUUUUGGCGGCAUUUUAUCUUUUUAGAGGAACCUGUCUUUUAAUCGUAAUCCACGAUAUUUUUUACAUCUGUUAAAAUUUUAUAUACCUCCAUCUCUAGGGUUAAUAUUUAUAUUUUUCCCUCAAUAGAUUUCAAAAAGGUUAGGUAAAGGUGUAGACUAUGCGGAUGAUCAUGAUGGGUUACAUUAAAUUUUAUUUAAGGAUUAUUCUUUAAAAAGUUAUUUGAAAAAGGAUUUGUCAGUAAUUUUUGAAUAAUAUUCUAUACUGAACAAGAUAAUAAAUGUGCACAUAUCGCCCGUCACCCUUAUCUAAAGGUAAGGUAAGUCGUAACACAGUUGAUGUUUUGGAAAAAGCAUCAAGA
Molecule: non-coding RNA, 698 nt
Filed under: Cyrtophora moluccensis
Lineage: Eukaryota; Metazoa; Arthropoda; Arachnida; Araneae; Araneidae
Source: RNAcentral